CGUUAAGAAUGUUACUUCAACGGUUUAUUUUUGCCAUUGGGUUUGUGUUUAGUCUGAGCUUUAUUUCUUUUUAUUUCUUUCAUUAUCUUCGUUUUGUUUCUUUAUAUUUUAUUCAUUGCCUUUGUUUGACACAAUAAGGUCAGUGGUUAAGAUGGUUAAGGCUUUCGGUCUCCCAACUCCCCUGACCAAGGUUUGAUUCCAGUGUGCCACAUUUUCUUUUUUGGGGUUUCUAAGGUUUUUCUAUUUUAUGUGUUUUGUUUCCUUUUUAUAUUUUUCGUUGCCGGUUGAGGCUCCGGUCU
RNAcentral lists this long non-coding RNA (299 nucleotides) under Lathyrus oleraceus (garden pea). Its description in RNAcentral is "Pisum sativum (pea) long non-coding RNA (PSAT_LNC027060)". The record is from RNAcentral. Lineage: Eukaryota; Viridiplantae; Streptophyta; Magnoliopsida; Fabales; Fabaceae.